AUUGAACGCUGGCGGCAGGCCUAACACAUGCAAGUCGGACGGUAGCACAGAGGAGCUUGCUCCUCGGGUGACGAGUGGCGGACGGGUGAGUAAUGUCUGGGGAUCUGCCCGAUAGAGGGGGAUAACCACUGGAAACGGUGGCUAAUACCGCAUAACGUCGCAAGACCAAAGCGGGGGACCUUCGGGCCUCUCACUAUCGGAUGAACCCAGAUGGGAUUAGCUAGUAGGCGGGGUAACGGCCCACCUAGGCGACGAUCCCUAGCUGGUCUGAGAGGAUGACCAGCCACACUGGAACUGAGACACGGUCCAGACUCCUACGGGAGGCAGCAGUGGGGAAUAUUGCACAAUGGGCGCAAGCCUGAUGCAGCCAUGCCGCGUGUAUGAAGAAGGCCUUCGGGUUGUAAAGUACUUUCAGCGGGGAGGAAGGCGAUGUGGUUAAUAACCGCGUCGAUUGACGUUACCCGCAGAAGAAGCACCGGCUAACUCCGUGCCAGCAGCCGCCGCUG
Molecule: ribosomal RNA, 506 nt
Filed under: uncultured bacterium
Lineage: Bacteria
Description: partial 16S ribosomal RNA
Rfam family: Bacterial small subunit ribosomal RNA
Source: RNAcentral